UUCGGUAUUUCUCAAUGACCGGCGCUGCGAGGGCACUUCCGACGCGGGAGGGAGGGGUGUCAUUAACGCUCGGUUUAUCAGUUCCUUCCGGUCUGCCCGGCUCGGCCCAGCUCGUCCACCACGCCCGGGGCGCUCCGACGCUUUCACGACUCGGUUUAAGUAAGCGGUCGCGUGUGGCGGUGUGUGCCAAGCGAUUUUAUAGCCCAGCCGUCUCCCCCCAAGACCCGCUGCUAGCCGUGGAAACCCAAGCCGCCUGGCAAUGAAGGGGAUGAUGCAAACUUAGAAAGUGACCCGGCGCCCGGGAGCGGUGGCGAGAGGCGGCCCGGCCGGGCAUGAAUGGCCGGGCGCGGUUGCAUAAUCCGCGCGGUAUAAAUAGCCGGCGGGCGGCCGCAGACGCGCUCGCUCGCUCGCGUGUACCGUUAUCGUGCAAGGCUCCUUCCCUGGGCGGCUCAAUCCCAGGUCCUCUUCCCCGUCAGCUCGAUGCCAGGAUUUGAAACAGCCUAGACCAAAGGCCCAGCCCCCGCCUCCCUCCUCCCCUGAAUUCAUGUAUUAUGAAUGAAACGCCAGCCCCGCGGCUUCCCGAGGUCUCCACUUCAGACAGGAUCUCAUUAUAUAGCCCAAGAUGACCUUGAACUUAGGAUACAGCCCAGCCUAUCCUGAACUUUCAGUCCUUCUGCCUCAGCCUGCCAGAGUGCUAGGAUUAUAGGCAUGCACCGUACCUGGUUUAGAUUUUCCUUCUUGAUGAGAAGAAUGGCGCAGACUAGUGAGGACCGACCAGCUGCUCGGGAAGCUCACUGCUCCCCCACCUCCAGUGCUCCGGAGCCUUCGUCAGAGCAGACAGCCUCAGCCUCCCGAGUGCUGGGAUUUCAGACGUGCACCACCAUGCUCAGCUUCAGUGUAACUGGACCUUGGAGAACCAAGAAUGUACCAGGAAGAAAACAAGAAAGGAGAAAGAAGCUUUGUGUUCUAGGACAUGGAAACUGCAGAUGUUACAUGUAUCUUGUACAAUGGUCCAAAGCUGGAAAGGUCUUCCCGCUGCCUGCUUUCAGCCCCUGUCCUGUGUCACAGAAGCACUCGCCGAGUCCGGUUUGUUUGUACAUUGUCUUGCUAUGAAGUCCAAGCAGGCCUCAAACUUGCCACGUGCCUGCUGCAGCCUCCAGAGCGCUGGGCUCAGAGGCAUGCACCACCACACACAGUUUCAGGUGUUGGGUAUUUUAUCUCCGCAAUAAAGAAAGUGAGCGACUAAGACACCGUUGAAAGUACCAUCUCCACUCAUAUCAUGUAGAAGUCUCUAUUAUAGAUGGGACUGCCCUUGACUUCGUAGGAGGAAGGUGUCACACUGUGGGGAAUAAAGCUUGCUGGAAAAAUUGAGCACUGAGCCAGACCCAGCUUCCUUCGAGGUUGCUGAGCAGCCUUCCUGUGGAAGAAACCAAGCUCCCCACUUGACGAAGAGUAAAACCCACAGAGAUAAGAGCUGCUGGCAGAGUCUGGAGGCCAGAUGUGUCUAGGCAUGCAGCAGUGGACGCUGUUCACUUUCCCCUUAGAGGUGCCCAGACGCCUUUGGCUUCUCAGCAGCACGUGUGCGGCCUGGCCCAGACCACACUGUGGGUCACCGGGCAACCUGCAGAAGGCUCCCGAAGGUCAGUGCUCCUCCCUCUGUGCUGUCCCCACAUGUCUUCCAGCUCUAAAAUUCUUUGUUCUUGUGCUCGGUUCAAGAAGGCGAAGGUGGGGGAGGAGGGUGGCUCAGUGGCUCUGCUGCCUGCCUCACAAGAGGGCAAAGAGGACUGGGGUUUGCAUGGCAGGAGGGCUUGGGUGAAGGAGCCUGAAAGGCGGUGUGUGCUCCCUCCCCUGGGGCCCAGGGUGUGGCAGUAAUGCGCCCCACCUACUCCACACUGCUCUCCUGGUUCGGUAAGCCUGAGUAAGCCUCCCCUGUUGUUUUGUAGGAAAGGGUUUCAGAUACCCCUUGCUCUUUCUCCUGUCCCACUCUCUGCUCCUCCACAUUUCCCAGAUGGUCCCUGAGCAUCUCCAGGCUGCAGGCAUCAUCUCUCUGCCCCCUCGUCUCCCUCCCAGUCUCUCCCUGACUCAGCCUUCUCCGUCUCUCCCAGCAGUGCUGUCUGUCAAAGGCAGCUUCAUGCCAGCAGCACCCUGAUGCUCCGGCUGGAAGAGAGUCAGAGCCCAGUCCGGUCAGCUCCCGAGGGCUCUGUGGUGAGCUGUUAGCCUGACUCAGGCUUCGGGUGGGCUGCGCCUCUGAGGAUGCUCUCUCUCAGCUCUGAGCACUUUUCAGACCCAGCAAGGUAAGGGAUGGAGGCAGCAGUAGCCUUGCAGUCUGCACUAGCUUCAGAGGUUGGUAGAUUUGCUUUAUCUUUCUCUUCCUCUGUUUUGUGGUGCUGGGGAUUGAACCCAGAUCCUCACACAUUCUAUGCAUAUUCUCUGAGCUGUACCCCAACCCCUCUCCUGUUCCCCCUUUCAGGCAGAGUCUUGCUGGGUAGUCCUGGCUAACCCUGAACUCACAAUCCUCCUGCCUGUGCCUCCUAAGUGCUGGGCUUACAGGUGUACUCCUCCACAC
Fukomys damarensis (Damara mole-rat) is the source of this 2566-nucleotide long non-coding RNA. RefSeq lists it as uncharacterized. NCBI's taxonomy places the organism in Eukaryota, Metazoa, Chordata, Mammalia, Rodentia, Bathyergidae. The transcript has 7 exons. The record is from RefSeq and is a predicted model, not a curated record.